GGACGAUUAGCUCAGUCGGUUAGAGCACUUGGUUUACACCCAAGGUGUCGGGGGUUCGAAUCCCUCACCGUCCA
This 74-nucleotide transfer RNA is filed under the name Treponema sp. Its description in RNAcentral is "tRNA-Val". It matches the Rfam family "tRNA". From Rfam's summary of the family: Transfer RNA (tRNA) molecules are approximately 80 nucleotides in length. Their secondary structure includes four short double-helical elements and three loops (D, anti-codon, and T loops). Lineage: Bacteria; Pseudomonadati; Spirochaetota; Spirochaetia; Treponematales; Treponemataceae. The record is from RNAcentral.